UACGGGAGGCAGCGGUGGGGAAUAUUGCACAAUGGGCGAAAGCCUGAUGCAGCUAUGCCGCGUGUAUGAAGAAGGCCUUAGGGUUGUAAAGUACUUUCAUCGGGGAGGAAAAACAAAACUAAUAAUUUUAUUUCUUGACGUUACCCGAAAAAGAAGCACCGGCUAACUCCGUGCCAGCAGCCGCGGUAAUACGGAGGGUGCUAGCGUUAAUCAGAAUUACUGGGCGUAAAGAGCACGUAGGUGGUUUUUUUAAGUCAGAUGUGAAAUCCCUGGGCUUAACCUGGAACUGCAUUUUGAAACUGAAAUACUAGAGUAUCGUAGAGGGAGGUAGAAUUCUAGGUGUAGCGGUGAAAUGCGUAGAUAUCUGGAGGAAUACCUGUGGCGAAAGCGGCCUCCUAAACGAAUACUGACACUGAGGUGCGAAAGCGUGGGGAGCAAACAGGGAUUAGAUACCCGU
RNAcentral lists this ribosomal RNA (457 nucleotides) under uncultured bacterium. RNAcentral describes it as "bacterial SSU rRNA". It matches the Rfam family "Bacterial small subunit ribosomal RNA", at positions 340 to 789 of the family's 1533-position model. The record is from RNAcentral.